CAAGUAAAAGCUUUUAAAAGCAUUUUAUUUACAUUAAAAAGAUAUUGUUAAUUCAAUUUAUUUGA
This 65-nucleotide transfer RNA is filed under the name Bostrichoidea sp. 4 KM-2017. Its description in RNAcentral is "tRNA-Val". The record is from RNAcentral. Lineage: Eukaryota; Metazoa; Arthropoda; Insecta; Coleoptera.